UGUGCGCGGUCCACGGUGGACCUCCCUCUUAUUAUAUAUAUAAAUAAAUAUAUAAAUAUAUGUAUAUAUAUAAUUUUAUAUAUAUAUAUAUAUAUAUUUAUAUAGCAUUUUAUUUAUAUAAUAGAAAUAUUAUUAUAUAAUAUUUUAUUUAUAAUUUUUUAAUUAUUUAUUGAUAUUUUUAAAUAUAUAACUCUUAUAUAUUAUUAAUAUAUAUUUAUUAUAAUUUUAAAUAUAUUUAAUCUAUAUAUAAAAAUUAUAAUAAUAAUAUAUAUAGUAUUAAUUAUUAUAUAUUUAUUAUAUAGCUGAAUUUUUUAUUCCGAAAUUUUAAUUGGUGAACGUAUAAUAUCCGUAUAAAUCACGUAUCUGAAAUAAUUGCCGAAUUCAUUUUUUAGCCGUAUUUUUCAACUAAUUUAAAAAUUAAAAGACGAAUUAUAUCUGUACCGAAUUUUUACCGAAUCCGAAUUAACUAACUAUACCUCUAGCCGAAUCCGAAUCCGAAUUAGCUGAAUUUUUUAUCCCGAAAUUUUAAUUGGUGAACGUAUAAUAUCCGUAUAUCUGAAAUAAUUGCCGAAUUCGUUUUUUAGCCAUAUUUUUCAACUAAUUUAAAAAUUAAAAGACGAAUUAUAUCUGUACCGAAUUUUUACCGAAUCCGAAUUAACUAACUAUACCUCUAGCCGAAUCCGAAUCCGAAUUAGCUGAAUUUUUUAUCCCGAAAUUUUAAUUGGUGAACGUAUAAUAUCCGUAUAAAUCACGUAUCUGAAAUAAUUGCCGAAUUCGUUUUUUAGCCGUAUUUUUCAACUAAUUUAAAAAUUAAAAGACGAAUUAUAUCUGUACCGAAUUUUUACCGAAUCUGAAUUAACUAACUAUACCUCUAACCACCAAGGUUCGUUUAGCUGCGAUCGAUCUCAUCUGUUCAUCUGCUCGCUCCCGACGUGCUUUAUUAAUUAAUUGAUAUUUGAAGGGCAAAUUAGAAAAGUAUUUGCUAUAUGAAAGGUAUAUAAGAAAAGUUAGUUACGGUACAAGGGUAUAUUGAAAUGGGCAAAAUGGUAAUUUUCCAGAGAUAACGGUAGCUCACUGACGGAACUUAACUACAGGGGUAUAUUAGAAAGACUUGGAACAUAAGAAGGGUAUUUUCAAUAUUAGCCUUCUAAGAGGGGUAAAUAAGAAAACCGGAAACUUUUCAGGGGUAUAUAGGCAAUUGCCCCAACAAUUAUAUAUCUGUUAGGAUUGACCUUUAUUUAUAGCAAAUCCAUAUUUGAAUAUGAUUAAUUGUGCCACAAUCUCUCACUUGACCCAUAUUAGCAUAUUCCGUAUAGGGAUAUAUUAUAUUCCAAACUUUAUAGUCAAAUAUCUUAAAACUUACUUAAUACUUAACUCAAACUAAAGGACUACAAUGACAGGAACUAUGGCGGUCCACCUCUUCAUAACGAAAUUUUCCUUCCAUAAUUACCGUAUCAUCUUCACCUCUUAGCCGAGUACUUUAUAUGGCACAACUUUAUAAUGAACUAAAAACUAUAUAUCCAUUUUCAAAUGAGGCAAAAUUUUAUGUCUACAAAUGGUCCAUCACACCUCUAUCAAAACUAUAAUUUUUUUUGGAAGAAGAUAAAAUGUUAUAAAAUCUUACAUAUCAAAAGAACUAAUCAGACCGAUACUACUAACAUGAUCUAUAUAUGACUCAAGUGUUAGUCCCUUAGUCAUUAGGUCUGUUAUCAUAUACUUGUUACUAAUGUAUUCAAUCAUAAUAUAACAUUCCUCUAUUUUCUCUUUCACAACAAGAUAUUUGGUAUCUAAGUGUUUAUAUCCCGUUGUUAUCUUAUUGUUAUUGGCGAAG
RNAcentral lists this long non-coding RNA (1831 nucleotides) under Ananas comosus (pineapple). RNAcentral describes it as "long non-coding RNA (ACOM_LNC010434)". The record is from RNAcentral. Lineage: Eukaryota; Viridiplantae; Streptophyta; Magnoliopsida; Poales; Bromeliaceae.